GGGUCGUUAGCUCAGUCGGUAGAGCAGCGGACUUUUAAUCCGUUGGUCGACAGUUCAAAUCUGUCACGACCCA
This 73-nucleotide transfer RNA is filed under the name Gammaproteobacteria bacterium RIFCSPHIGHO2_02_FULL_39_13. RNAcentral describes it as "tRNA-Lys". It matches the Rfam family "tRNA". Rfam says of the family: Transfer RNA (tRNA) molecules are approximately 80 nucleotides in length. Their secondary structure includes four short double-helical elements and three loops (D, anti-codon, and T loops). RNAcentral also lists the same sequence under 1 other name. Lineage: Bacteria; Pseudomonadati; Pseudomonadota; Gammaproteobacteria. The record is from RNAcentral.